RNAcentral lists this ribosomal RNA (254 nucleotides) under uncultured bacterium. RNAcentral describes it as "partial 16S ribosomal RNA". It matches the Rfam family "Bacterial small subunit ribosomal RNA", at positions 524 to 776 of the family's 1533-position model. The record is from RNAcentral.
UACGUAGGGGGCGAGCGUUGUCCGGAUUUAUUGGGCGUAAAGAGCGUGUAGGCGGCCAGGUAGGUCUGCUGUGAAAACUCGAGGCUCAACCUCGAGACGUCGGCGGAAACCAUCUGGCUAGAGUCCGGAAGAGGAGAGUGGAAGUUCCUGGUGUAGCGGUGAAAUGCGCAGAUAUCAGGAAGAACACCCGUGGCGAAGGCGGCUCUCUGGGACGGUACUGACGCUGAGACGCGAAAGCGUGGGGAGCGAACAGG